CUAGUCAUAAACAAAAAAAUUAUAAAGAAAAUAGAGUAGAUAAAUAGGAGGCUCAAGAGCUGUAAGUGAAGACAUUACCAAGAAAUUAAAGGAUAGGGCCACCUUAAUAAGUUCCAGAGGGACAAUCCAAUUUUGCUUUAAAAAAAAAUAAUGUGAAACAAAUUAUGCAUAGAAUCACUUGAGUCCAAUUUUUUUAAAAAAGAAAAACUAAAUCCUUACAC
Molecule: long non-coding RNA, 221 nt
Filed under: Elaeis guineensis (African oil palm)
Lineage: Eukaryota; Viridiplantae; Streptophyta; Magnoliopsida; Arecales; Arecaceae
Description: long non-coding RNA (EGUI_LNC010617)
Source: RNAcentral